Molecule: ribosomal RNA, 494 nt
Filed under: uncultured bacterium
Lineage: Bacteria
Description: partial 16S ribosomal RNA
Rfam family: Bacterial small subunit ribosomal RNA
Source: RNAcentral
GACGAACGCUGGCGGCGCGCUUAACACAUGCAAGUCGAACGGAAAGGCCUGCGUUCCCUUGUGGAUUGCGGGUACUCGAGUGGCGAACGGGUGAGUAACACGUGAGUGAUCUGCCCCCAACUUGGGUAUAAGCCUGGGAAACUGGGUCUAAUUCCCGAUAGGACUGCAGGGUGGUGCCUGUGGUGGAAAACGAUUUUCUAGUGGUUGGGGAUGAGCUCGCGGCCUAUCAGCUUGUUGGUGGGGUAAUGGCCUACCAAGGCGGCGACGGGUAGCCGGCCUGAGAGGGUGGACGGCCACAUUGGGACUGAGAUACGGCCCAGACUCCUGCGGGAGGCAGCAGUGGGGAAUAUUGCACAAUGGGCGGAAGCCUGAUGCAGCGACGCCGCGUGGGGGAUGACGGCCUUCGGGUUGUAAACUCCUUUCGACCGCGAGGAAGCCACCUGGUUGGAAGGGUGGUGACGGUAGUGGUAGAAGAAGCACCGGCUAACUACGUG